CAGCAUGUGGUUGCUUGCAACCAAUGAUGGCGACCGGCGCACGGGUGAGUAACGCGUAUCCAACUUCCCCCCUAGUAGGGGACUAGCCCGGCGAAAGUCGGAUUAAUACCCUAUGUUGUUCAUUGAAGGCAUCUGAUUUGAACUAAAGGUUUUCCGCUAAGGGAUGGGGAUGCGUCUGAUUAGGUGUUGGCGGGGUAACGGCCCACCAAGCCAUCGAUCAGUAGGGGUUCUGAGAGGAAGGUCCCCCACAUUGGAACUGAGACACGGUCCAAACUCCUACGGGAGGCAGCAGUGAGGAAUAUUGGUCAAUGGACGGAAGUCUGAACCAGCCAAGUAGCGUGCAAGGAUGACGGCCCUAUGGGUUGUAAACUGCUUUUGUCAGGGAAUAAAGUGAGGCACGUGUGCCUUUUUGUAUGUACCUGAAGAAUAAGGACCGGCUAAUUCCGUGCCAGCCGCUGC
Molecule: ribosomal RNA, 459 nt
Filed under: uncultured bacterium
Lineage: Bacteria
Description: bacterial SSU rRNA
Rfam family: Bacterial small subunit ribosomal RNA
Source: RNAcentral